UCUGUAGGAUAAUAUAUGUGUGUGUAUUAAAAUAUAUGUACAUAUGUUAUGCAUGUGAAAUGUAUAACCAGUGUGUGUACGUGUGAAAUUUGGGUAAACUACACUUGCUGUGUGAUCUGGUGCAGAUGUACAGUGCAAUGUACUUACUGUGUGAUUUGGUACAGUUACACGAAGAAUCUAAGUAUCAUGUGCUUGAUGUGUGAUCUGGCAUAUGAUGAUUCAGAAAGUGUUUUAAAAUGUAUGACUCUAAUGUGCGUGAUGAUAUCGUGUAUUUUGUAUGUGCUUGUUUGUAUUUUAUUACGUGUAAAAAUUAAGAUCUUAGGUAUGAAAUAAGUGAAUUAGAAAUGAGAGAGAUUUAGAAAGAGCACAGAGUAUAAGGACCCUAGAUACCUACUUAUUUAGUUUGAAUCGAAGAGGGGAGGGUGCAUGUGUGGCUGAAGUUCAGCGGGUAUGGUGAACUUGCACAUGGAUAGUGUUUGAAACCUAAUCCAG
Molecule: long non-coding RNA, 492 nt
Filed under: Carica papaya (papaya)
Lineage: Eukaryota; Viridiplantae; Streptophyta; Magnoliopsida; Brassicales; Caricaceae
Description: long non-coding RNA (CPAP_LNC015082)
Source: RNAcentral